Molecule: ribosomal RNA, 614 nt
Filed under: Spaziphora cincta
Lineage: Eukaryota; Metazoa; Arthropoda; Insecta; Diptera; Scathophagidae
Description: partial 12S ribosomal RNA
Source: RNAcentral
CUUAUUUCAAUUUUCUUUCACAAUACUAUUACACUAUAAUUAAAAUUAUUUUUUCAUUAAUCAUUACUAAAACAAAUUUUUUUAUAAUUAUUUUUAAUAAUUUAAAUUUUUAAAAAUAUAAAUUAAUAAAUAAAAUAUAAUCAAUUUAUAUUGAUUUGCACAAAAAUCUUUUCAAUGUAAAUGAAAUGCUUUACUUAAUAAGCUUUAAAUUGCAUUCUAGGUACACUUUCCAGUACAUCUACUAUGUUACGACUUAUCUUACCUUAAUAGUAAGAGUGACGGGCGAUGUGUGCAUAUUUUAGAGCUAAAAUCAAAUCAUUAAUCUAUAUAAUUUUACUAUCAAAUCCACCUUCAAUAAAUAUUUCAAAUUUAUAUUCGUAUAAAUAAUUUUAUUGUAACCCAUUUCUACUUAAAUAUAAGCUACACCUUGAUCUGAUAUAUUUUUUUAAAAAAAAUUAUGAAAAUUAACAUUCUUAUAAAAUAUUCUAAUAACGACGGUAUAUAAACUGAUUACAAAUUUAAGUAAGGUCCAUCGUGGAUUAUCGAUUACAGAACAGGUUCCUCUGAAUAGACUAAAAUACCGCCAAAUUUUUUAAGUUUCAAGAACAUAACUA